UCCGAAGGGGGCUAUCGUUGUUCGGAAUUACUGGGCGUAAAGCGCACGUAGGCGGAUUGUUAAGUCAGGGGUGAAAUCCCGGGGCUCAACCUCGGAACUGCCUUUGAUACUGGCAAUCUCGAGUCCGGAAGAGGUGGGUGGAAUUCCUAGUGUAGAGGUGAAAUUCGUAGAUAUUAGGAAGAACACCAGUGGCGAAGGCGGCCCACUGGUCCGGUACUGACGCUGAGGUGCGAAAGCGUGGGGAGAAAACAGG
RNAcentral lists this ribosomal RNA (253 nucleotides) under uncultured bacterium. RNAcentral describes it as "partial 16S ribosomal RNA". It matches the Rfam family "Bacterial small subunit ribosomal RNA", at positions 524 to 776 of the family's 1533-position model. The record is from RNAcentral.